This 402-nucleotide ribosomal RNA is filed under the name uncultured bacterium. Its description in RNAcentral is "bacterial SSU rRNA". It matches the Rfam family "Bacterial small subunit ribosomal RNA", at positions 354 to 773 of the family's 1533-position model. The record is from RNAcentral.
GUGGGGAAUAUUGGACAAUGGGCGCAAGCCUGGUCCAGCCAUGCCGCGUGAGUGAAGAAGGCCUUAGGGUUGUAAAGCUCUUUUGCCAGGGACGAUAAUGACGGUACCUGGAGAAUAAGCCCCGGCAAACUUCGUGCCAGCAGCCGCGGUAAUACGAAGGGGGCUAGCGUUGUUCGGAUUUACUGGGCGUAAAGCGCACGUAGGCGGGUCGUUAAGUCAGGGGUGAAAUCCCGGAGCUCAACUCCGGAACUGCCUUUGAUACUGGCGACCUUGAGGCUGGAAGAGGUUAGUGGAAUUCCCAGUGUAGAGGUGAAAUUCGUAGAUAUUGGGAAGAACACCAGUGGCGAAGGCGGCUAACUGGUCCAGAUCUGACGCUGAGGUGCGAAAGCGUGGGGAGCAAAC